GACAGCAAUGGGUUUGAGAAAACUGGUUCCCUUAAGGUUGGUUUGGGUAUUUGCCUUUGUAGUCUGUGUUUUAGCUCCCACCAUAGAAAGCCAAAUCCAAGGCUGCUCUAUUCAGGGAUUUGACAUGGGUCUGUGUUUGAAUCAAAGAAAUAGAUCCUUUUCUAAUGAUAGUACAUGCUGCAAAGUGCUUAAUAAAGCUGCACAAACUGGGUAUAAUUGUUUGUGCUUGUUGGUAGCAUCAUCUCUUCCUCUCUUAAGCUCCCCAGUUUCAUUGCCCUUGUCAAACUGUUCUAUAUCUGUGCCUCCUUUGACUCUUUGCAAAGUUCUAGCGCCACUACCAAUUGUGUUUCCACCAAAUGGUCCAAAUGAACCCACACAACCUUCUCUGCCUCCCAAUGGUGUGCCUGUGUCUCUUCCAUAUGGGAUACAAGUUCCCUUAAAAUCAACCGGGAACAAUAACUUUGCAGCAACACAACCUUCAAGUGCAAUUGCUGAUGUUCUCGUGUCUCCUCCACAGGAGAUUCCGGCUUCUUCAAACACUGCAAGUGCAGCAAUACAGCCACAUUCAACUUCAAGCGAAAAUGCUUCUCCAAAAUCAACUCUUUAUAAGGAGAAUGAGACAUCAAAAGGGAGAGACAAGGCCAAGAUAAUGUUGUUCCACAGUUUGUUGAUCUUCUCAUUGGCUUUCCAUUGCUGUGUUAUUUUAGCUUAAUGACUUGCUUAACAUUCUCAUUAGCCUUAGAUUAGAUGUGAAAUCAGAAUGUACCCAGACUUGCUAAUAUACUUUUUUUUCAUUAUUUUUUAAGAACAACAACAUAUGCUAGGAAUUUCUCAUGGCUUCUCUUGUCUGCGACUCUUAUCGUCUUCUAUUAAUUAGAAAACAAGAACACAAUAACACAGCAGCAAGCAGAGGAGGAAGCAACAAAAAUUAUUUCAAGUGCUUCAGCAGAAUUUGCCCACAUCAUCGGUCCAGUUAUCGUGGCGCCCCCUUCAGCAAGUUUGCCAGCUGAUAAUGCAGAAACUUCACCCACGCCGUUGAGUCUGACACGGACGGAACCUUUUGUCGAAUCUGCAGCAGCACCGAAACCACUGCUCAAACCAACCAGCCGUUCAUUUGCAUUGAAACACAUUAGCGACAGCAAAAGUUAAUUUCUUCCUGAAGAAGGAACUUCCCUUGUUAUCUUUUUCUUUUCUUUUUUCUGAAUGAGUCCUAUUAUCUUCACUCAUCUGUAAUUCAGCCACGCAUGUGAUUUCUACUCAAUGGUCUAUUGCUUUCUAAUGGCAAAUUUGUCAGUGUAAUCUCAGAUGUUUUCAAGCAGCUAUUGCAAAUAAAAACAAAUAUUUUUCUA
RNA transcript from Hevea brasiliensis (rubber tree), 1349 nucleotides. RefSeq lists it as uncharacterized. The record is from RefSeq and is a predicted model, not a curated record. NCBI's taxonomy places the organism in Eukaryota, Viridiplantae, Streptophyta, Magnoliopsida, Malpighiales, Euphorbiaceae. The transcript has 3 exons.